GAUGAAGAACGUAGCGAAAUGCGAUAAGUAAUGUGAAUUGCAGAAUUCAGUGAAUCAUCGAAUCUUUGAACGCACAUUGCGCCCGCUGGUAUUCCGGCGGGCAUGUCUGUUCGAGCGUCAUUUCAACCCUCAAGCCCCCGGGUUUGGUGUUGGGGAUCGGCUCUGCCCUUCUGGGCGGUGCCGCCCCCGAAAUACAUUGGCGGUCUCGCUGCAGCCUCCAUUGCGUAGUAGCUAACACCUCGCAACUGGAACGCGGCGCGGCCAUGCCGUAAAACCCCAACUUCUGAAUGUUGACCUCGGAUCAGGUAGGAAUACCCGCUGAACUUAAGCAUAUCAAUAAGCGGAGGA
This 348-nucleotide unclassified non-coding RNA is filed under the name soil metagenome. RNAcentral's name for it is "partial contains 5.8S ribosomal RNA, internal transcribed spacer 2, and large subunit ribosomal RNA". The stretch from base 1 to 120 matches the Rfam family "5.8S ribosomal RNA", at positions 35 to 154 of the family's 154-position model. The record is from RNAcentral.